CAGUAGCCGCGGGAAUACCGAGGGUGCGAGCGUUAAUCGGAUUUACUGGGCGUAAAGCGUGCGUAGGCGGCUUCUUAAGUCGGAUGUGAAAUCCCUGAGCUUAACUUAGGAAUUGCAUUCGAUACUGGGAAGCUAGAGUAUGGGAGAGGAUGGUAGAAUUCCAGGUGUAGCGGUGAAAUGCGUAGAGAUCUGGAGGAAUACCGAUGGCGAAGGCAGCCAUCUGGCCUAAUACUGACGCUGAGGUACGAAAGCAUGGGGAGCAAACAGGAUUAGAGACCCGUGUAGUCCUGUCUCUUAUACA
Molecule: ribosomal RNA, 301 nt
Filed under: uncultured bacterium
Lineage: Bacteria
Description: partial 16S ribosomal RNA
Rfam family: Bacterial small subunit ribosomal RNA
Source: RNAcentral